CAAUAGCGUAUAUUAAAGUUGUUGCGGUUAAAAAGCUCGUAGUUGGAUUUCUGUCGAAGACGGUCGGUCCGCUCUAUGAGCGUGUAUCUGAUUCGGCUUUGGCAUCCUCGUGGGGGACGUAACUGUGCUUGAUUGCAUGGUGCGGAAUUCACGACUUUUACUUUGAGGAAAUUAGAGUGUUCACGGCAGGCAAGCGCCUUGAAUAUAUUAGCAUGGAAUAAUAAUAUAGGACUUGGUUCGUAUUUUGUUUGGUUUUCUUAGGACUAAAGUAAAUAGAUUAAUUAAGGGAGUAAUUAGGGGGUCGGAUUUGUUAUUAACGUACGU
This 324-nucleotide ribosomal RNA is filed under the name uncultured eukaryote. RNAcentral's name for it is "bacterial SSU rRNA". It matches the Rfam family "Eukaryotic small subunit ribosomal RNA", at positions 592 to 912 of the family's 1831-position model. The record is from RNAcentral.